GCGCUCGUAGCUCAGUGGAUAGAGCAUCAGCUUGCGGAGCUGGGGGUCGUUGGUUCGAAUCCAAUCGAGCGCGCCA
Molecule: transfer RNA, 76 nt
Filed under: Armatimonadota bacterium
Lineage: Bacteria; Bacillati; Armatimonadota
Description: Armatimonadetes bacterium (activated sludge metagenome) tRNA-Arg
Rfam family: tRNA
About the family: Transfer RNA (tRNA) molecules are approximately 80 nucleotides in length.
Source: RNAcentral